RNAcentral lists this ribosomal RNA (254 nucleotides) under uncultured bacterium. RNAcentral's name for it is "partial 16S ribosomal RNA". It matches the Rfam family "Bacterial small subunit ribosomal RNA", at positions 524 to 776 of the family's 1533-position model. The record is from RNAcentral.
GACAGAGGGGGCAAGCGUUGCUCGGAAUUACUGGGCGUAAAGAGCGCGCAGGCGGUCGAUCAAGUCGCGUGUGAAAGCCCCCGGCUCAACUGGGGAGGGUCACGCGAUACUGAUCGACUCGAAGGCAGGAGAGGGUAGUGGAAUUCCCGGUGUAGUGGUGAAAUGCGUAGAUAUCGGGAGGAACACCAGUGGCGAAGGCGACUACCUGGCCUGUUUCUUGACGCUGAGGCGCGAAAGCUAGGGGAGCAAACGGG